UUAACAGGAUUAGAUACCCUGGUAGUCCACGCCGUAAACGAUGUCGACUUGGAGGUUGUGCCCUUGAGGCGUGGCUUCCGGAGCUAACGCGUUAAGUCGACCGCCUGGGGAGUACGGCCGCAAGGUUAAAACUCAAAUGAAUUGACGGGGGCCCGCAUAAGCGGUGGAGCAUGUGGUUUAAUUCGAUGCAACGCGAAGAACCUUACCUGGUCUUGACAUCCACGGAAGUUUUCAGAGAUGAGAAUGUGCCUUCGGGAACCGUGAGACAGGUGCUGCAUGGCUGUCGUCAGCUCGUGUUGUGAAAUGUUGGGUUAAGUCCCGCAACGAGCGCAACCCUUAUCCUUUGUUGCCAGCGGUCCGGCCGGGAACUCAAAGGAGACUGCCAGUGAUAAACUGGAGGAAGGUGGGGAUGACGUCAAGUCAUCAUGGCCCUUACGACCAGGGCUACACACGUGCUACAAUGGCGCAUACAAAGAGAAGCGACCUCGCGAGAGCAAGCGGACCUCAUAAAGUGCGUCGUAGUCCGGAUUGGAGUCUGCAACUCGACUCCAUGAAGUCGGAAUCGCUA
Molecule: ribosomal RNA, 568 nt
Filed under: uncultured bacterium
Lineage: Bacteria
Description: bacterial SSU rRNA
Rfam family: Bacterial small subunit ribosomal RNA
Source: RNAcentral